Molecule: long non-coding RNA, 874 nt
Organism: Lutra lutra (Eurasian river otter)
Lineage: Eukaryota; Metazoa; Chordata; Mammalia; Carnivora; Mustelidae
Exons: 3
Source: RefSeq, a predicted model, not a curated record
CACUUCCAGGGAGAUGUCACAGACUUCCGGGUUCUUUCCUGCACCCUCUGGAGCCCCGUGGGUCUCCGUCCCACACCAGCACCCGCAGCCCUGCAGCAGUGCGAGACGAUGUAUCUGGGGGAUGGGAGGCUGGCAGAGAACAUACCAGGUCCUUCCCUUUUACUCGAUGUUGUCAGUUUGGACUCCAACCAACUCCUGUUUAGAAUAUUUCAGAAGAAAACUAUGAAAAACAACUGGCAAAUAGGAUGAAGGGCUUAGUAUGGAAUUUCAGAAUUUCCGGCCCGUCCCACUCACCUUCCAGGCUCACCUAACCCCAGGCCUCACAAGAACCUCGUUUGAUGCCCCCUGUACCUCCCCUCGGUGCUCCCCACAACUGCCUUGGUUCUCUUGCAGCCUGGAAUGGCCGUCUCCUCCUCAUUACUGGAAGCACACUCACCUUCCAGGAAGUCCUCCAGAACUGCCGUGUCUCCCCUUGGCUAAGCUCCUGAAUUAAGCCAGCAUGUUCACAGUGGAGGGGCACGGUUGCAUUACCCAUCUGUGGUGUGGGGGUUUGUCUCACUAAGCAUCUUGAGAGGACAGACUAUAAUCUGCUACAUCUUAGUGCCCGCAUACGGAGCAGGGAACAGCUUCCUGUUCCCAGGGAAGCAAAAGUACCAACAGCCACACCAGCAUAGAUUUGAUGAAGACUCACAUCUCUGAUCUCAUCUGAACCCCGUAACAGCCCCAUGAGGAAGUCUUCCCAUUCUACAGAUGUGACGACUGACACUGAGAGGCUAAGGGAGUCUCACAAGACCAGCAGAGUACCAUCAAGGGACCUUCAGAGAUUCUAUUCAGAACAGAAGAAUCACCUAGCAAAGCCCAUGCUUCAUUUCUG